RNAcentral lists this ribosomal RNA (466 nucleotides) under uncultured bacterium. RNAcentral describes it as "bacterial SSU rRNA". It matches the Rfam family "Bacterial small subunit ribosomal RNA", at positions 917 to 1382 of the family's 1533-position model. The record is from RNAcentral.
GGGCCCGCACAAGCGGUGGAGCAUGUGGUUUAAUUCGACGCAACGCGCAGAACCUUACCAGCCCUUGACAUGUCCAGGACCGGUCGCAGAGACGUGACCUUCUCUUCGGAGCCUGGAACACAGGUGCUGCAUGGCUGUCGUCAGCUCGUGUCGUGAGAUGUUGGGUUAAGUCCCGCAACGAGCGCAACCCCCGUCCUUAGUUGCUACCAUUUAGUUGAGCACUCUAAGGAGACUGCCGGUGAUAAGCCGCGAGGAAGGUGGGGAUGACGUCAAGUCCUCAUGGCCCUUACGGGCUGGGCUACACACGUGCUACAAUGGCGGUGACAAUGGGAUGCGAAGACGCAAGUCCUAGCAAAUCUCAAAAAGCCGUCUCAGUUCGGAUUGGGCUCUGCAACUCGAGCCCAUGAAGUUGGAAUCGCUAGUAAUCGUGGAUCAGCACGCCACGGUGAAUACGUUCCCGGGCCUU